RNAcentral lists this ribosomal RNA (509 nucleotides) under uncultured bacterium. Its description in RNAcentral is "partial 16S ribosomal RNA". It matches the Rfam family "Bacterial small subunit ribosomal RNA", at positions 28 to 523 of the family's 1533-position model. The record is from RNAcentral.
GACGAACGCUGGCGGCGCGCUUAACACAUGCAAGUGGUGCGACGAACCAGGCUUCGGCCUGGGGCGAAGCCGCGAACGGGUGAGUAACACGUGGGCAAUCUGCCCCUUUGAUCGGGACAACCCGGGGAAACCCGGGCUAAUACCGAAUGAGGUGGCGACUCAUGAGAGUCGUCACGAAAGGAAGCUUCGGCCUCCGCGGAGGGAUGAGCCCGCGGCCCAUUAGCUUGUUGGUGGGGUAAUGGCCUACCAAGGCAACGAUGGGUAGCUGGUCGGGGUGGACGAUCAGCCACACUGGGACUGAGACACGGCCCAGACUCCUACGGGAGGCUGCAGUGGGGAAUCUUGCGCAAUGAGCGACAGCUGGACGCAGCAACGCCGCGUGAGGGAAGAAGGCUUUCGGGUCGUAAACCUCUUUCAGUUAGGACGAAGCUUUAUUGGUUAAUAACCAAUUGGAGUGACGGUACUUUCAGAAGAAGCCCCGGCUAACUACGUGCCAGCCGCCGCCGUAA